This is a non-coding RNA of Camellia sinensis, 305 nucleotides long. Lineage: Eukaryota; Viridiplantae; Streptophyta; Magnoliopsida; Ericales; Theaceae. The record is from RefSeq and is a predicted model, not a curated record.
AGAUGUACAUAAUUCUAGUUUCAUAACAAAACUAGUGUAUGUUUGUUGGCAGUGAUGCUGAGAUAUAAAAUAAAGGGGAUUUGCCAAUACUGAAAUUUUAAUCUUAGUGGAAAAUUCAGCAGUAAAUUUGGUUUGAUUUUCUUUUGUUAAAAUCUGCAAGUUCUUGCUUAGUUAAGUAUACCGACACAUUUAUCUUGCAGGGAAGAAGUGCAGAUUCAUUGUCUCAGUAUUUUGGGGAUCCAGCCAGGUGCCCUUUUGAACAAGGUUAGAUUAGAUGAUGGAAGUGAAAAUGCUUACAUUUCAAG